This 45-nucleotide non-coding RNA is filed under the name Echinostoma caproni. Lineage: Eukaryota; Metazoa; Platyhelminthes; Trematoda; Plagiorchiida; Echinostomatidae. The record is from RNAcentral.
GCACUGCUGACGAGUCCCAAACAGGCUGAAACAGUUGUCCAGUAC